AACUCUCUUUUUAGCAUUAAGCGAGAGAGGUUCCUCUCUAUAAGCCAGGUUUAGACAGCUCUCAGGCAGCUGAAUUCCUGCAGGACUGUUUUUAGUUUAUUCCAUCACACUUGUGAAAUAGGAGUAGCACCUCUUUUCUCGGCAAGGAGGCAUUAGGAUAGAUCUGUGCCUGAGAUGAGCAGAUAGGAUGAUAAGACACAUAAAUAUAUUCUGAUAGUUACAGCUGCUUUAAAUGUUUCUGUUGAGACUUGUCUGCAUUGCUUACACUUUUUCCGGCUAACCUGUUUCCUCUGUAUGCUGCCUUCAGCCCCAUACCAGCAAGGAGCCUGGCUGCUUCCCAGGUGCCAUCAGUACAAGAGUGUGCCCUGUACAGGAUCGCUACCUACUAAUAACAUAAAAGGUAAAGCAGGAAGAGUAAAGAUGUGUGUGUUAGCAUUUUCUUUUAAUUGAACUGCUUGAGGUAAACACUAAGCUCUCAGUAGGUUUGCUCUGCCAGAUGAGAACUACCCAAGAAGACACAAAUGGCUCCUACUAAAUGUCAUGCCACUUUUCUGUAGUAUGUCCUACACUAGCUGGUGUGCUCUACCUCCUACUCACCUAGUUCUCACAGACUGUGUGCUAUGCCUGCAACACCUACUUAAGAUGCUAAGGGUUAAUGCAGAUGGGAAAAGUUGUCCUAUGACGUAUGUGACUCAACUGUAAAAACGGUGUUCCUGUUUGAAUUAGUAAGAAUAUUUUAAAAUUAAUAUUCUUCUAUUUCUAAACAAAAAAGUAAAAAGAAGGACCAAAGCCUCUCUUGUUAAAUACAGUGAAACUGAGAUGCUGCAAGGAAAGAAGCUACCUGACUGCCAUCUAAAGCAGUUGAAUUCACAGGGCCUAGGGGAGUUGUCCCGCUGUUCAUUGCAGGAUUACUAACCUGAUGAAUAGCUAUUAUGCAGCAUUUGGCAUUGAAAUGCUUAAGGAAAUACAGACCCAGGUGUCUUCUGGUGGUUUAGAAGCAGAGCUGGUCAGAAAUAAGGCUAAUAGGUAUGAAUCACCAGCCAGCAUGCCCUGGUGAUGGUGACCUACAGGAUUGUAGAAUCCUCAGGAAAAGUCUCUGCCAGCCCCUGAGCUGUUCUGGAAAUUCUGAGGGAGCAGCAGGUGUGUUUGACUCAGAGAACAGCUCUUCUAGGGCUCAAAAAGCUCCUCAACAACAGAAUAUGCAAACCUUUCCCUCUUUCUGUUACAGCUGGAGUGCAAAGAGACUACUGGACAAGUACAUUAAUUGACCAAAAAUCCAUACGCCUUUGACACUGCAGAUAAGUGACACCCAGGUUACUGAACACUGAGCUGAGCCAAGAACAACACUGUCAACCUCCAGCUUUGUGCCAAGAAAAGUGGCUACAAGGGAGUGACAGUGAUUUCUUUUUGAGAGAAAUACUUGAACAAUUUUCAUCUCAUAAGUGAGCCUGAGAUACAAAGAAGGCAGCAGCAGCUGCUGUCUGUGCAAGAUCCACAGAAGGAGUGUCUGACUGUAAGAGAGCAGUAUCCAAGUAGAGUCCCCUGCCCAAAACCACCACAGGACCUCUAUGGCUGAAGAUGGUCAAAACUCAACUGGACAUGACACAGGCAACCUCUUGAAACAUUCUAUUGGCCCUGCCCUGAGGAGGCAGUUGGACAGCGUGACUGCUGGAGGUGCCCUGUAACCUACGCCAUCCCUGAAUUCUCUGCCUACAGAACACUGGGCCAUUUUGGAGUGCCACACAUUGUGGAAGGAGGAAUUUAAUACCAAAGUCUUCCUGAGAAGUUUAUGAACACAAAACAUUUUCAUUUAUCCAGAUGUGAGAGGGAAAAAAGUCAAAAGGUAAUGGCACUCAUACAGGCCUGGGAGAUCACUGCCUACUUUAUCUUUUGAAACUUAUCCACAGUACAUCCAAGGAGUUACCAUCAGUAAGUGGCAGAUGUCUGCUUUUAGAAAAGGGAGGCAGUGCAAUCAGUACUGUAAUGCAGGGGUACUGAGGCAAAUGGUCCAUUUUUCCCCUCCUUUUGAGG
Molecule: long non-coding RNA, 2031 nt
Organism: Athene cunicularia (burrowing owl)
Lineage: Eukaryota; Metazoa; Chordata; Aves; Strigiformes; Strigidae
Exons: 4
Source: RefSeq, a predicted model, not a curated record